GAUGAACGCUGGCGGCGUGCCUAAUACAUGCAAGUAGAACGCUGAAGGAAGGAGCUUGCUCUUUCCGGAUGAGUUGCGAACGGGUGAGUAACGCGUAGGUAACCUGCCUGGUAGCGGGGGAUAACUAUUGGAAACGAUAGCUAAUACCGCAUAACAGUAGAUGUUGCAUGAUAUCUACUUAAAAGGUGCAAUUGCACCACUACCAGAUGGACCUGCGUUGUAUUAGCUAGUUGGGGAGGUAACGGCGCACCAAGGCGGCGAAACAUAGCCGACCGGGGCGGGGGGUCGGCCACACGGGGACGGGGACACGGCCCAUGGGCCUGCGGGAGGGAGCAGUAGGGAAACGUCGGCAAUGGACGGGAAUCUUGCCGAACGAGGGCGAGUGAGUGGAGGAGGUUUUCGGAUCGUAAAGAUCGGUUGUAAGAUGAGAACGAGGGUGGGAGUGGAAAGUUCACACUGUGACGGUAUCUUAACAGAAAGGGACGGCUAACUACGUG
Molecule: ribosomal RNA, 497 nt
Filed under: uncultured bacterium
Lineage: Bacteria
Description: partial 16S ribosomal RNA
Rfam family: Bacterial small subunit ribosomal RNA
Source: RNAcentral